RNAcentral lists this ribosomal RNA (492 nucleotides) under uncultured bacterium. Its description in RNAcentral is "partial 16S ribosomal RNA". It matches the Rfam family "Bacterial small subunit ribosomal RNA", at positions 29 to 507 of the family's 1533-position model. The record is from RNAcentral.
AGUGAACGCUGGCGGUAGGCCUAACACAUGCAAGUCGAACGGCAGCACAGUAAGGGCUUGCUCUUACGGGUGGCGAGUGGCGGACGGGUGAGGAAUACAUCGGAAUCUACUUUUUCGUGGGGGAUAACGUAGGGAAACUUACGCUAAUACCGCAUACGACCUACGGGUGAAAGCAGGGGAUCUUCGCACCUUGCGCGAUUGAAUGAGCCGAUGUCGGAUUAGCUAGUUGGCGGGGUAAAGGCCCACCAAGGCGACGAUCCGUAGCUGGUCUGAGAGGAUGAUCAGCCACACUGGAACUGAGACACGGUCCAGACUCCUACGGGAGGCAGCAGUGGGGAAUAUUGGACAAUGGGCGCAAGCCUGAUCCAGCCAUACCGCGUGGGUGAAGAAGGCCUUCGGGUUGUAAAGCCCUUUUGUUGGGAAAGAAAAGCAGCAGGUUAAUACCCCGCUGUUCUGACGGUACCCAAAGAAUAAGCACCGGCUAACUUCGUG